UGAGUUUCUAUAUAUGUAUCUAAGUGAUUGUGUGUGUUAUGCAUGUAAGCGUAUCUGAUUGUGAAGACGCCUGUGGGUGUGUCAUUGCCUGUGUGUGCUUGAGAGUGCAUUGCGUAUUAGUAUACAGAGUCUGUUUCAUGUCUUUCUGUGAGUGAAAGAUUUGCAUGGCAUCUGCUUGUAAUAUGAUAGAUGAAGCCAUGGGGGAAAUGCAGAUGGCAUUAGCAGAGCCAAUGGGGAGAGUGCAAAGUGACCAAGGACAGAGCCCUGGGAACACAGAGUUUAAGGGGCACGUAGAGAAAAGAAGACAAACUAAGGCAGAAAGGGAGACACGGAUGGAGCAGAUCGAGAAAGGAGAAGUGGGUUUCAAGUAGGGAGGGGUCAGCCGAGUCCAGUAAAAUGAAGACUGAAAAGUGCCCAUUGGAUUUAGCCCCAGAGAGAUCCAGAAGAGCAGAGGAUAGGGAUGGAGGGACGGCAGCAGGCCGUGGUCUCCACAGUGUGAGGAGGUGAAGACAGGGGUGUGGAUAACACAUUGAGAAGGGAGGGAAGCGAGUGAGGUUCCACUGGAGAAAGAGCUUCUUCCUCCAAGAGGGUGAGGGUGGGCCAGGAGGUUAGGGGGGAGAAGGCUUGGAUCUCACCGGUGACAAGUUCGGGACAGGGAGGUAGUGGAGAGGAUUUGGGGAGUGGAGGAGGGGGUCAGCAAGGGACAAAGCCAAGAAACUUUCCGGCACGGUGGGUGGAGAUGCAGGGGAGGAAGCUUCCACCGCCAGGGGUCAGCACUUGCACGGACAGGCACUCGUGCACACGCUCACAAAACACACUUGGACACCCUCAGAGACAAAGACACCAACACUUAGAUGCACAGAAACCCAGGCAGACAUCAAACCCCACUCACAGAUACCAGAAAAAGGAUCUUCUCGGAGUGACAGAAGCAUGGCUCAGAUCCAACCCCGCAGACACCAAGAGGCACACACACGAUCGCUCUUGCACACAGACACCACGACAAAUCCAUGGAAACUUUUAAAACCCAGAUGUGCAUUGAAACACACUCUCACAUACAUGAAAACACACCUUGUGCAAAUGCAAGGUCACACACUCAGAGACCAUAGCAGGCACAUGCACGCAAACACCCAGAUGUCCACGCACACCCAGGCCAGGGUCUCCUCGUUUUCCGAGGAUCCUCAGGGCCCCCCACCCCUUACCGCCCACCACACACUGCUCUUUUCCUCUCCUCCCGGCAAUGUCUUGCCCAGCCAGGAGGUGAGGUUCAAGGAGCUAAGAAGGGUGCUAAGGGCUUGGUCCCUCCCCCAGGCCGGGGUUCCCAGGGGCCCCCCCAGCCGGAAACCCCUGCCCCCCUGCCCCAGCCCGGGCUGCCAUCAGCUGAUGCAUCUGGCAGCCCCUGGCGGCAGUCUCCGCCCCCCUUGCUGGCAGCCCCGUCCUGGCAAGGACUCCCUACCCUGCGCCGGCUGCGUCCCCCCGCAGUUCACUCACACUCCAGCGGCCCCCAUGGCUGACUCGGCGCUCAACCACUCCUGGCCGGCCCUCUCCAAACUGUGGCUGAAGCGGUGGGCCUUCAAGAGAGGCUCUGAGCCCAAGCCAUGUGUUCAGACUUUUGAGUCUGGGACUGCAGCCUCAGCCACCAACAGCAGCAGUGGUUCCUGCCCUGGACCUUGGAGGCCUGAGAAUCCAGACUUUUUCUCCUCCAUGGAGGAUGAGCAGGCAAGUGUCUAAUUUUGAGAUGGGCAGGAGAGGAUGACAAGAGUGGCAGCAAGCACCAUUUGUUUAGCAUCUGCAUUUUGCCAGGCAUUUUAUGCAUGUUAAAUGCAUAAAAAC
This is a long non-coding RNA of Dasypus novemcinctus (nine-banded armadillo), 1830 nucleotides long. Lineage: Eukaryota; Metazoa; Chordata; Mammalia; Cingulata; Dasypodidae. The record is from Ensembl.